This 2045-nucleotide unclassified non-coding RNA is filed under the name Pomacea canaliculata. Its description in RNAcentral is "xaa-Pro aminopeptidase ApepP-like, transcript variant X3". Lineage: Eukaryota; Metazoa; Mollusca; Gastropoda; Architaenioglossa; Ampullariidae. The record is from RNAcentral.
ACAAGUGCGCAUGACAAGACGCCUGCGCGGCUCAACGGUCAGGAGGUCAGGGUCAAGGCAGUGCGUUUGAAAGCAAACUGUCACAAGCUCACCUACACUCCCAGCAGCAACAUGUGGUGCUGUGCAGCAGGCCUUGUGUACCUGCUCACUGUAGCUUCCCUUUGCCAUGGCGGCCCCAUUGCCGGAGAAGGCGGCCACCGCACCAAGCGAGAAGCUGGACAACCGACUCUGGCUGACAGACUCAACUGCUCACAGGGGGAUCGAGUCAACACCACCCAGCGACUGGCUGACAUGAGGGCAGCGAUGAGACAACUCGACAUCGACGCCUUCAUCAUCUUGUCUGAUGACGCCCACGGGAGCGAGUACCCGUCAGAAAGAGACGAGAGACGAGGCUUUAUAUCAGGUUUCACUGGAUCCGCAGGUCAAGCAGUAGUCACUCUCCACCAGGCGGCGCUCUGGACCGACGGCCGCUACUUCCUGGAGGCUGAGGGGGCGCUGGACUGCAACUGGAUCUUCAUGCGCUCAGGCGACGCCAAUGUUCCCUCCAUUUCCCAGUGGGUCAUCAGUGAGCUUGCGAACACCAGUGGUGUUGUAGGAGCAGACCCCUUUCUUGUCAGCAACAGUCAGUGGCAAUCAUUUGAAAAGGCGUUUGUUCAAGCCAACAUCACCUUUAAACAAGUGUUUAAAAACCCAGUGGACACAGCCUGGGGUGGGUAUCAGCCAGCGCCCCCUAUGAGCAACAUAACCGCCCUACCCAUGGAAUUCGCAGGAAAAACAUGGCAAGACAAAAUUACUGAGCUUCGUCAGAGCAUGACAGCGAAGAACGCGGAUGUGUUUGUUGUGACCAGCCUGGAUGAAACAGCAUGGCUUUUCAAUCUUCGGGGCGGCGACAUCAGCUACAACCCCGUCUUCCUGUCCUACGCCAUCGUUGAAAAAACUUCAGUAAGGCUAUAUCUGUUGAACAAAAAUGAAAGGUUGACUCAGAAUGCUACCGAUCCCGUGACAAGUAUAAAACUGAAAGAGCAUCUGAACACAGGGGACACUGGUUCUUGUACGGGGAGUUCUGCAUCUUGUGUGGAGGUUGUAGACUAUAACGAAACAGCCAUAGUGGAGGAUGUAAAAGCACUCGCCACGGCGGGCAAAAAGAUUUGGGUGACCUUCGUCUGCAACUAUGCCAUCUUCAGUGCUAUUCCCGAGGCCUCACGAAUACAGGACAGGUCCAGCAUCGCGCUGGCCAAAGCCAUGAAGAAUCAAGUGGAGCGGGAGGGGAUGGAGAGAUGCUAUAUUAGAGACUCUUUGAUCCUCAUUAAAUUCCUGGCAUUCCUAGAGAAAGAGAUAAAGAAUGGGCAUUACUGGACGGAGGUGUCUGCAGCGGAACGACUGAAAGAAAUGAGGCUGCAGGGUCAGUACAACCGGGGUCUGAGCUUCGAGAGUAUCUCGGGAUCCGGACCCAACGGGGCGGUCAUCCACUACAGACCCCUGAACGCAACUAACCGUCAGAUAACGACUACUGAGAUGUACCUGCUGGACUCGGGUGGCCAGUACCUGGAUGGAACUACUGACGUCACGAGGACCAUGCACUUCGGAACACCCUCGUCACACGAGAAGGAAUGUUACACCCGAGUUCUGAUGGGAGCAAUCGACCUGGCUAACCUGGUGUGGCCACAGGGGCUCUAUGGCCGGGAGAUCGACAUGGCAGCACGCGCACCCCUGUGGCAAGUUGGUCUGGAGUACAACCACGGCACCGGCCAUGGAAUAGGCGCCUAUCUUAGUGUUCAUGAAGGUCCAGGCCGCAUAUCCCUGACCCACAGCGCCAAUCCAAGCGAGGAAACUGUGCACGAGUACAUGUUUUUUUCUGAUGGUGAGCUCCCUUCACCCUCACUUCCCCGUCACUAACUUUCUCCUUUUCGCUGCAGGCCAGCAUCGUCAGCAGUCUGGAGUCAGGGUGGCAGUGACUAGUACAAACAGAACCAGGCUAUUACGAGAACGGAAAGUUUGGAAUUCGUCUCGAGACUAUUGUUAUGGUUGAACCCACCAGCAUCAAG